This 380-nucleotide ribosomal RNA is filed under the name uncultured eukaryote. RNAcentral describes it as "partial 18S ribosomal RNA". It matches the Rfam family "Eukaryotic small subunit ribosomal RNA", at positions 592 to 976 of the family's 1831-position model. The record is from RNAcentral.
CAAUAGCGUAUAUUAAAGUUGUUGCAGUUAAAAAGCUCGUAGUUGGAUUUGUGGCGUACGGUGUGUUCCGGGCACUUGUUGUCUGAGUAACCUGCUGUUGCCAUCCUUGGGUGGAACCUGUGUGGCAUUAGGUUGUCGUGCAGGGGAUGCCCAUCAUUUACUGUGAAAAAAUUAGAGUGUUCAAAGCAGGCUUAUGCCGUUGAAUAUAUUAGCAUGGAAUAAUGAGAUAGGACUUUUUUGCUAUUUUGUUGGUUUGCGCAAAGAGGUAAUGGUUAAUAGGGACAGUUGGGGGUAUUCGUAUUCCAUUGUCAGAGGUGAAAUUCUUGGAUUUUUGGAAGACGAACUACUGCGAAAGCAUUUACCAAGGAUGUUUUCAUUAA